Molecule: ribosomal RNA, 400 nt
Filed under: uncultured bacterium
Lineage: Bacteria
Description: bacterial SSU rRNA
Rfam family: Bacterial small subunit ribosomal RNA
Source: RNAcentral
UGGGGAAUAUUGGGCAAUGGGCGCAAGCCUGACCCAGCAACGCCGCGUGAAGGAAGAAGGCCCUCGGGUUGUAAACUUCUUUGACAGGGGAAGAAAGAAAUGACGGUACCCUGAAAACAAGCCACGGCUAACUACGUGCCAGCAGCCGCGGUAAUACGUAGGUGGCAAGCGUUAUCCGGAUUUACUGGGUGUAAAGGGCGUGUAGGCGGGCGUGCAAGUCAGGUGUGUAAUUUCGGGGCUCAACCCCGAAACUGCACUUGAAACUGUGCGUCUUGAGUGAUGGAGAGGCAGGCGGAAUUCCUAGUGUAGCGGUGAAAUGCGUAGAUAUUAGGAGGAACACCAGUGGCGAAGGCGGCCUGCUGGACAUUAACUGACGCUGAGGCGCGAAAGCGUGGGGAGC